Long non-coding RNA from Dama dama (fallow deer), 507 nucleotides. RefSeq lists it as uncharacterized. The transcript has 3 exons. NCBI's taxonomy places the organism in Eukaryota, Metazoa, Chordata, Mammalia, Artiodactyla, Cervidae. The record is from RefSeq and is a predicted model, not a curated record.
UCGGCACCUAGCCCAGCGCACUGAAUGACAGAAUGAGGGCUCUGUCACCCCUGUGUUCAUUCAGAAGGGGCUGAGGAGGCAGGACCACCAAGCAGCGCUCCCUGGACCUCCCACAUGGAGCUCUCCGCGGGGACAGGAGGUGGUCAUCUUCCACGGGCGUGUCCACUCCUGACGCGGCCCUGGAUUCUCCAGGCAAGAAUACUGAAGUGGGUUGCCAUUUCCUUCUCCAGAGGAUCUUCCCAUCUUAGGAAUUGAACCCGCGUCUCCUGCGUCUCCUGCAUUGCAGACGGAUUCUUUACUACUGCACCACCUGGGAAGCCCAUCAUAUGAGAUGGAGAGAAGCUGCCUGAGAGCAGGAGUACCUCUUGAUGGCAGCCUCAGCGUUUAGCUGGGAUGUACCAGGGAAGCCAGUGUUCCCCAGGAACUCCAUUUGAGAACCACUGAACUAGAGUUUGGAAGUUAAAAGUAAGUCAAACAGGGAAACUGGAGACAACCGUAAAAGCUUGA